GCCCGGAUGGCGGAAUCGGUAUACGCGCAACACUUAAAAUGUUGUCCGCAAAUGCGGAUGUGGGUUCAAUUCCCACUCCGGGCA
Molecule: transfer RNA, 84 nt
Filed under: Candidatus Wolfebacteria bacterium
Lineage: Bacteria; Candidatus Wolfeibacteriota
Description: tRNA-Leu
Rfam family: tRNA
About the family: Transfer RNA (tRNA) molecules are approximately 80 nucleotides in length.
Source: RNAcentral